This 74-nucleotide transfer RNA is filed under the name Candidatus Saccharimonadota bacterium. RNAcentral describes it as "tRNA-Gln". It matches the Rfam family "tRNA". Rfam says of the family: Transfer RNA (tRNA) molecules are approximately 80 nucleotides in length. Their secondary structure includes four short double-helical elements and three loops (D, anti-codon, and T loops). Further hydrogen bonds mediate the characteristic L-shaped molecular structure. tRNAs have two regions of fundamental functional importance: the anti-codon, which is responsible for specific mRNA codon recognition, and the 3' end, to which the tRNAs corresponding amino acid is attached (by aminoacyl-tRNA synthetases). tRNAs cope with the degeneracy of the genetic code in two manners: having more than one tRNA (with a specific anti-codon) for a particular amino acid; and 'wobble' base-pairing, i.e. permitting non-standard base-pairing at the 3rd anti-codon position. Lineage: Bacteria; Candidatus Saccharimonadota. The record is from RNAcentral.
UGGGGAUUGGCCAAGCGGUAAGGCAACGGGUUCUGGUCCCGUGACCGGGGGUUCGAAUCCCUCAUCCCCAGCCA